UACGUAGGGUGCAAGCGUUGUCCGGAAUUAUUGGGCGUAAAGAGCUCGUAGGCGGUUUGUUGCGUCGGCUGUGAAAUCCCGAGGCUCAACCUCGGGUCUGCAGUCGAUACGAGCAAACUAGAGUGUUGCAGGGGAGACUGGAAUUCCUGGUGUAGCGGCUGAAAUGCGCAGAUAUCAGGAGGAACACCGGUGGCGAAGGCGGGUCUCUGGGCAACAACUGACGCUGAGGAGCGAAAGCGUGGGGAGCGAACAGG
This 254-nucleotide ribosomal RNA is filed under the name uncultured bacterium. RNAcentral describes it as "partial 16S ribosomal RNA". It matches the Rfam family "Bacterial small subunit ribosomal RNA", at positions 524 to 776 of the family's 1533-position model. The record is from RNAcentral.